CAAUAGCGUAUAUUAAAGCUGUUGCAGUUAAAAAGCUCGUAGUUGGAUGUCUGUCCGGAUCUGCCAGUCUGCCCUCUGGGUAUGCACUUGGUUCGUUCCGGGCAUUUACUAGGAAGCAUCUCUGCACUUGAUUGUGUGGUGUGUGACUUAGUUACUUUACUUUGAGAAAAUUAGAGUGUUUCAAGCAGGCCAAUGUCUUGAAUACUGCAGCAUGGAAUAAUGUUUUAAGGCUUUGAUCUUAGUUCAUUGGUUUUAGAGACCAAAGCAAGGAUUAAUAGGGACAGUUGGGGGCGUUCGUAUUUAAUUGUCAGAGGUGAAAUUCUUGGAUUUAUUAAAGACGAACAACUGCGAAAGCAUUCGCCAAAGAUGUUUUCAUUAAUCAAGAACGAAAGUUAGGGGAUCGAAGACGAUCAGAUACCAU
This 421-nucleotide ribosomal RNA is filed under the name uncultured eukaryote. RNAcentral describes it as "bacterial SSU rRNA". It matches the Rfam family "Eukaryotic small subunit ribosomal RNA", at positions 592 to 1018 of the family's 1831-position model. The record is from RNAcentral.